CCAAUAGCGUAUAUUAAAGUUGCUGCAGUUAAAAAGCUCGUAGUUGAAUUUCGGGAUCAAUAUGUCGGUCGUGCCUCGGUACGUACUGGCUUAUUGGUUUCUCCUUUCUGAAGAACCAUGAUGUCAUUUAUUUGGUGUCGUGGGAAAUCAGGACUGUUACUUUGAAAAAAUUAGAGUGUUUAAAGCAGGCUCACGCUUGA
RNAcentral lists this ribosomal RNA (200 nucleotides) under uncultured Glomus. RNAcentral's name for it is "partial small subunit ribosomal RNA". It matches the Rfam family "Eukaryotic small subunit ribosomal RNA", at positions 591 to 798 of the family's 1831-position model. The record is from RNAcentral. Lineage: Eukaryota; Fungi; Glomeromycota; Glomeromycetes; Glomerales; Glomeraceae.